RNAcentral lists this ribosomal RNA (433 nucleotides) under uncultured bacterium. RNAcentral describes it as "partial 16S ribosomal RNA". It matches the Rfam family "Bacterial small subunit ribosomal RNA", at positions 29 to 507 of the family's 1533-position model. The record is from RNAcentral.
AACGAACGCUGGCGGCAUGCCUAACACAUGCAAGUCGAACGAGACCUUCGGGUCUAGUGGCGCACGGGUGCGUAACGCGUGGGAACCUGCCCUUAGGUUCGGAAUCACUCCCCGAAAGGGGUGCUAAUACCGGAUAAUGUCUUCGGACCAAAGAUUUAUCGCCUUUGGAUGGGCCCGCGUUGGAUUAGCUAGUUGGUAGGGUAAAAGCCUACCAAGGCGACGAUCCAUAGCUGGUCUGAGAGGAUGAUCAGCCACACUGGGACUGAGACACGGCCCAGACUCCUACGGGAAGCAGCAGUGGGGAAUAUUGGACAAUGGGCGAAAGCCUGAUCCAGCAAUGCCGCGUGAGUGAUGAAGGCCUUAGGGUUGUAAAGCUCUUUUACCCGGGAUGAUAAUGACAGUACCGGGAGAAUAAGCUCCGGCUAACUCCGUG